GAAUUUUUUUGCUUAGUAAUUGAAAUUCAACCAUGCUAACAUGUAUAGCAGUAAUUUAUUAAUUCCCACUAUUAUAUGUGAUUUGUUUAAAAGUAUAUACCAUAGUGUAAUUAUCUGUUCUGUUUUUGGUGGACAUUUGGAUUUUUUCCAAGCUUAACCAUUGUGUGAUGAUCUCAUGAAUGCUCUCAUCAUUGUCUUUUGGUACAUGCAUUUCUUUGGGGCUUACGCACAAGAGUAGAAUGGCUCCAUCACAGAGGUUACAUGCAUUUGGCUUUAGGAGAUACUGCCAGUUUUCCAAUGUGAUUGUACCAAGUUAUUCUCCCGUAGAACAGUGCAGAACUCUUAGCAGCCGCCUGCUGAACCAUGAAGAAACUUAAAAUAGCGAUGAUCUCCUCUUGACGCUGCCGCCUCUUUCUCCCCAUAGAACCCACGAGCCAAUCUGUGGUGUUUAUACUCGAGGCCGUAUGAAGCUAAUCUGUAUGGAAAUAAAGGAUAGAAAUAUUCAGAUUGAGUUUUACUAAGUGAACCUGAGGUUUUUCAGUUCAGCAAAAUAGGCCAGGUAAAUGCGUUUCUGAUACAAAAUAAAUCACUGGUUUGAAGACCUAUGUUUCCCGUUUACCAUUUUGCUUAGACGCAACUCACAGCUCUCUGCAUGGAUUGUGAAAAGCACCAGCCCCUUCCCCCAGGAUAGUUCCUGGAGCAAAACUCGUGUUCCUGUU
RNAcentral lists this long non-coding RNA (719 nucleotides) under Homo sapiens (human). Its description in RNAcentral is "HSALNT0234036". The record is from RNAcentral. Lineage: Eukaryota; Metazoa; Chordata; Mammalia; Primates; Hominidae.